GUGAGGAAUAUUGGUCAAUGGGCGGGAGCCUGAACCAGCCAAGUCGCGUGAAGGAAGAAGGAUCUAUGGUUCGUAAACUUCUUUUGCAGGGGAAUAAAGUGCAGGACGUGUCCUGUUUUGUAUGUACCCUGAGAAUAAGGAUCGGCUAACUCCGUGCCAGCAGCCGCGGUAAUACGGAGGAUCCGAGCGUUAUCCGGAUUUAUUGGGUUUAAAUGGUGCGUAGGUGGUUUGAUAAGUCAGCUGUGAAAGUUUGCAGCUUAACUGUAAAAAUGCCGUUGAAACUGUCGGACUUGAGUGUAAAUGAGGUAGGCGGAAUGCGUGGUGUAGCGGUGAAAUGCAUAGAUAUCACGCAGAACUCCGAUUGCGAAGGCAGCUUACUAAGCUACAACUGACACUGAAGCACGAAAGCGUGGGGAUCAAACAGGAUUAGAUACCCUAGUAGUCC
RNAcentral lists this ribosomal RNA (445 nucleotides) under uncultured bacterium. RNAcentral describes it as "partial 16S ribosomal RNA". It matches the Rfam family "Bacterial small subunit ribosomal RNA", at positions 354 to 796 of the family's 1533-position model. The record is from RNAcentral.